RNAcentral lists this ribosomal RNA (443 nucleotides) under uncultured bacterium. RNAcentral describes it as "partial 16S ribosomal RNA". It matches the Rfam family "Bacterial small subunit ribosomal RNA", at positions 338 to 795 of the family's 1533-position model. The record is from RNAcentral.
CCUACGGGAGGCUGCAGUGGGGAAUAUUGCACAAUGGGCGAAAGCCUGAUGCAGCAACGCCGCGUGAAGGAAGAAGGGUUUCGGCUCGUAAACUUCUAUCAACAGGGACGAAAGAAAUGACGGUACCUGAAUAAGAAGCCCCGGCUAACUACGUGCCAGCAGCCGCGGUAAUACGUAGGGGGCAAGCGUUAUACGGAAUUACUGGGUGCAAAGGGCGAGUAGGCGGCAUGGUAAGCCAGAUGUGAAAGCCUUGGGAUUAAACGGAGGAUUGCAUUUGAAACUAUCAAGCUAGAGUACAGGAGAGGAAAGCGGAAUUCCUGGUGUAGCGGUGAAAUGCGUAGAUAUUUGGAAGAACACCAGUGGCGAAGGCGGCUUUCUGGACUGAAACUGACGCUGAGGAGCGAAAGCGUGGGGAGCGAACAGGAUUAGAUACCCUUGUAGUC